Molecule: long non-coding RNA, 2801 nt
Organism: Anthonomus grandis grandis
Lineage: Eukaryota; Metazoa; Arthropoda; Insecta; Coleoptera; Curculionidae
Exons: 3
Source: RefSeq, a predicted model, not a curated record
GUCGUUGUCCUAUCGAGACCUAAUAUUUAAUUCAAGAGUAAAGGAAUUUAAGCCUCAGACUAAGUAAGAAUAUUACAGAUGAUUCCUGGCUCGAGUUGGAUAGGUCUUUUUUUGGCUGGCAACAUAAUUAUUAUACCUAAUUAUACUCUUACAGUUACGACACUUAAACAGCUUCACCUGAUAAUCUACUGUACGGCUACUGCUGUUAUUAAAACCCUGGGAUUAAAAAUAAUACAAAAAAAGAUUGAAGAUAUAAGGAAAGACAUUGGCCGGCUAAAUGAAUAUAUUGAAGGUACAAGAACCAGAAAAGUACAAAAAAGAGUAGAGGAAAUAAUGCAUCAGACCCAAUAACAUACACAGCAGGACCCAGAAAACUGUACUCCGGAACAAUGUCUAGAUACCCUUAAACAAAAGCUAUCUAUUUUUUCAGGUCGAUUAAAAAGGUAUAAAUCCAAUAAUAAAAGGAAACUAGAUCAUUUACUUUUUGAACGCUCAGAGAAGCAAUUCUAUCGAAAGCUUAACGACACUUCUCCAACAAACACCGCCACUAGCAUUAACCCCACUAAAGAAAACAUCAAGGAGUUCUGAGGCACUCAAUUAUCAAUACCUAGUGAAUGCAACCUCGACACUGAAUGGCUGACUGAAGAACGAGUAAAAGAGCCAAGCAUAUAAUCCAAUGGCAUUUAACAUUUUCAGUUGAUGAAGUGACUAACGUCAUAAAAAACUACGUAACUGGAAAACUCCAGGCCCAGAUCACGUCCAAAAUUACUGGAUUAAGAAAUUGUGAUCAACACAUCAACAACUGACCGAUCUUCUAAACGACGUGCUUAUAAAUCCUCAGAAUUUUUUAACAAAAGGUACCACUUACCUCUUGUCCAAGGAUUGCCAAAACACUCAAGAUCUGGCUAAAUAUUGGCCAAUAACAUGCUUACCCACACUCUAUAAACUAAUUACAUCUUAAAUUACAGAUCGCAUUUACAGAUAUUGUGACCAAAAUAGUAUCAUAGCGACUCAAUAGACAAUGUACCAGAGGUGCCAUGGGGUGUAAAGAACAGCUAAUUAUCGACUCCGUAGUUUGCAAUCAGGCAUUUAAGAAGAGAAACCUUUUCGCAGCAUAUAUUGACUACCGACAAGCUUUUGAUGCAGUUCUACAUAAAUGGCUUAUUAAUGUAGUUAAAUUGUACAAAAUAGAUAACCACAUUAUUUUCUUUUUAGAAUUCGCCAUGGCAUCUUGGCGAACAUCAAUAAAACUUCAGGUGCCUAACAGUAACUACAUUGGAACUAAUAUGAUUUUUAUUCGUAGGUGUGUAUUCUAGGGCGAUUCCUUAAGUUCACUUUGGUUCUGCCUUACAAUGAACACACUAUCUAGCCUCAAUUCAACUAGAUACGGAUUUGGCCUAAAAAAGGAUAAUAAAGAACUAACAAGAGUAAACCAUCUACUUUAUAUGGAUGACUUAAAAAUUCUUGCAACAACACGAAAUCAACUAGACCAGAUGCGUAACAUAGUGAAAAAAUUGUCCGAUGAUAUAGGAAUGACCUUUGGAGUGGAUAAGUGCCGAACUGUAGACAUUAUUAAGGGUUAACUACAACCAGGUGACCUUCAAACAGAAAACGGUCAGGAUGGAGUAAAACGAACAUGGAAAAUUUGCAAAGAAAGGCUGGAACACUUCUAACGAAAGCUAAUAACCAUCAACCACGGAGUGCCGUAGAAUGGACUACGGUAUCUUGACAUAUGGGAGGAAGAAGAAUGACCGACAUAGAGAAGUAGCUAACUCAGAAAAUUAGUGACUUGCGUUCUUUUUUUUUGAGAAAGGCUGAAACAUCUUAUGUGAAGGAGACGACUUAACACCACUUCAACUACAGGAGCUUGAGCUGCCUAUACACCAUAGCACCAAGCAAGAAAAAAUGCAAGCUUGGAUGGAAAAAAUCACUACAUAGAAGGCAUGAUUACGAGGUUCAUCAAGAGUAUCGACAUAGCGGCAUCGCACUACUGGUUGACUUAGGGACAGCUUUUCACCGAAACUAAAGGGUUUCUUGUAGCUAUCCAAGAUUAAGUAAUACCAACAAGAAAUUACUUGAAGUUUGUAGUAGGUGACCCAACGGUACAAAGUGAAAGAUAUGGAUGUGAGACAACGGAGUCUAUUUAGCAUGUCAAUGCUGAAGCUCAGCACCGGUGGAUGUCAAACUUUUGCACACGAAAUAUAAAGAACGACAUAACCUAGUUGCAAAGAUACUGCAUCAAGAGCUUGCAGAAAAACUAAACCUUUUAUCGGCAGCCAAGGUACCAUAUUAAAAGCCGGAACCAGUUCUUAAAAAUGCGCAACACAAAUUGUAUUCGGAUCCCACGGAAGACAACCCUUAUUCUCCAUAAUAACAACCCAAGAGCAAAACAUAAUGAAAAGAUUGUUAAGUACAGGGAUCUAGGACACCAGAUAAGAAGACAAUGGGACAUUUUCCAUUGUCUUAGUGUAAACUAACUUUAUCAUUAUAAAAGUUCGGAUAGUUCCAAUUAUUGUGUCAACAACAUGAGUAAUACCAAAGAGACGGAUUGAAAACAUGAAACUGCUCAACCUUAAGAAAAGCAUAUAUUAUAAGCUGAUGCAGAAGUCGACGCUAUUAUUCACACCUCGAAUUGUCAGAAAGUUCAUUGGAAAUGUAGAUUAAGAUCAACUAGAUUAAAAAACAUAUCAUGUACUUUUAGUCUUAGUUUAUUAUUUGUAAAUAAAGUUUAAAAACAGAGUCCGAUAACAUGGAAAGAACUCCACCCGAGGCUUCAUCCUUCUAAUAUCUGAUAUAUCUGG